GACGAACGCUGGCGGCGUGCUUAACACAUGCAAGUCGAACGGAAAGGCCCUGCUUUUGCGGGGUGCUCGAGUGGCGAACGGGUGAGUAACACGUGAGUAACCUGCCCUUGACUUUGGGAUAACUUCAGGAAACUGGGGCUAAUACCGGAUAGGAGCUCCUGCUGCAUGGUGGGGGUUGGAAAGUUUCGGCGGUUGGGGAUGGACUCGCGGCUUAUCAGCUUGUUGGUGGGGUAGUGGCUUACCAAGGCUUUGACGGGUAGCCGGCCUGAGAGGGUGACCGGCCACAUUGGGACUGAGAUACGGGCCAGACUCCUACGGGAGGCAGCAGUGGGGAAUAUUGCACACUGGGCGGAAGCCUGAUGCAGCAACGCCGCGUGCGGGAUGACGGCCUUCGGGUUGUAAACCGCUUUCGCCUGUGACGAAGCGUGAGUGACGGUAAUGGGUAGAGAAGCACCGGCUAACUACGUG
This 468-nucleotide ribosomal RNA is filed under the name uncultured bacterium. RNAcentral's name for it is "partial 16S ribosomal RNA". It matches the Rfam family "Bacterial small subunit ribosomal RNA", at positions 28 to 507 of the family's 1533-position model. The record is from RNAcentral.